AGCGAACGUUAGCGGCGGGCUUAACACAUGCAAGUCGAGCGAGAAAGUGGCUUCGGCCAUCAGUAAAGCGGCGGACGGGUGAGUAACACGUAGGUAAUCUUCCCUUGAGCGGGGGACAACGUUUCGAAAGGAACGCUAAUACCGCAUAAGUUUCCAGGAACUCUGGUUCCUGGAAGGAAAGCUAGGUCGCAAGAUCCGGCACUCGAGGAGGAGCCUGCGUCGCAUCAGCUAGUUGGUGGGGUAANGGCCUACCAAGGCGAAGACGCGUAGCUGGUCUGAGAGGAUGAUCAGCCACACUGGGACUGAGACACGGCCCAGACUCCUACGGGAGGCAGCAGUGGGGAAUAUUGCGCAAUGGGCGAAAGCCUGACGCAGCGACGCCGCGUGGGGGAUGACGGCCUC
This 402-nucleotide ribosomal RNA is filed under the name uncultured bacterium. RNAcentral's name for it is "bacterial SSU rRNA". It matches the Rfam family "Bacterial small subunit ribosomal RNA", at positions 29 to 418 of the family's 1533-position model. The record is from RNAcentral.